RNAcentral lists this ribosomal RNA (253 nucleotides) under uncultured bacterium. RNAcentral describes it as "partial 16S ribosomal RNA". It matches the Rfam family "Bacterial small subunit ribosomal RNA", at positions 524 to 776 of the family's 1533-position model. The record is from RNAcentral.
UACAGAGGUCUCGAGCGUUGUUCGGAUUCAUUGGGCGUAAAGGGUGCGUAGGUGGUUAGGUAAGUCGGAUGUGAAAUCCCGGGGCUCAACCCCGGAACUGCAUUCGAUACUGCCUGACUAGAGUACUGGAGAGGAGAUCGGAAUUUACGGUGUAGCAGUGAAAUGCGUAGAUAUCGUAAGGAAGACCAGUGGCGAAGGCGGAUCUCUGGACAGUUACUGACACUGAGGCACGAAGGCCAGGGGAGCAAACGGG